This is a long non-coding RNA of Triticum urartu, 3172 nucleotides long. RefSeq lists it as uncharacterized. NCBI's taxonomy places the organism in Eukaryota, Viridiplantae, Streptophyta, Magnoliopsida, Poales, Poaceae. The record is from RefSeq and is a predicted model, not a curated record.
UGCCUUAAGGCACCGAAGCAUCGUCCCCCUCUUCGUCACCGGCGCGACAGGAGGGGCGCGGCUGUACGAAGGCCAAGGCACCUACGGCGCCAUCGCCCUCACCCCUCAGCGCAGGAGAAACAGAGAUGGGCGACGCUGUCAUCCUCGCCUUCAAGCCCUUUGCGACGCCGUCCCCUCGCCUCUGGGCCGUGCAGAAGGACGAGGAGAAGGAGGAGGAGCAGUCCACGACGCCGUGUACAUCCUUACUCCUCCACACACGGGGCGCAGAGAUGGACAAGGAGACUGAGCCAUGUGCGCAGUUGCCGCCAUCGCCUUUCUUGAGGCAAGUUGGAGGGGCGCACAAGGGUAAGGCAGGCCGCAGGAUGAUGGAUGCGAUGCAGUGAGGGGCAGCAGUGUCAUUAGAGGGACCCCUCCUGGUCAAGCCCCAACCCAGAGGCAAGUGCAGCUCCAAGUUCAUGGAGAAAACGGCGGCACAUGUGAGCUGUCUCUUCCUCUUUUCCUCAUCUCCCGGCUGUUAUUCUACUCGCACAGCAACACCGCAGACCUUGCCUAAGGAACUCACAGUUCUCUCUUAGUUCUUGGGAUCUCUGUGCUGUUAACUAUGAAGAGGAAAUUAAGGAAUGGCAGGGACUCUGGUUUGGUUAUGAGGAGUGCUUGGUGGAUGCUUAUGUGAUACUGUUAACGAGCUUAGCUCAAGCUCAAAUAUGGAAGGUCACUAAUUGAAGGUCUGCACAUGUUCAUGUUGGAGCAUUAGAAUAAAUAAAGUGAGUCUUGCAGUAUUUAUUGGGUGAAGUUCUGCAUAUGUAUCUACGUGCGGCGGUGGCGGUUGCUGGAUGAGAGCUGGGUCCUGACCCGGACGCAGCGCCCAUCCCCGUCUCUGGUACCGUCGGAGAGGCGAGGAUGGCGUCGGCCGUGCCGCGGCACGGCUCCAAGGCCACCAGUGUGACAGCGACAACAGCUACAACUUCGUGCCGCUUCUCAGGUUGUAAACUUCCUGAUGUUGUUUCCGGGCUGGUGGAAAGCGGAAAAAGGUUGGGUUCAGAUGGAUUUGAUUUGUUCCAUGUGUACAUCUCCGGUCUUUGCUCCAUCAACCAGCUGUCGAACAGAUGGCGAGCAUGGGAAGGAGGAGUUCAGCACGGGGCUCUUGUCCGUGCUCAUGCUUAGCAUCAAGAACAACACUCAGGCUGGUUUGGUGUUCUUUCAUCUUUUGAGAUCUCGGCUCAGCAAGGAACAGUUUUCUGCAGUACUACUCACUAUCUCUCUUCAUAUAUGUUUGAAUUGAAGGCUUUCCAGCGUUUCUUGUACUUGCGCUUGCUAGAAAUCUAAUCAACUUAGUUGCUUGUUCAACUGUAGUUUCGUGGAUUGCCUUUAGUAAUGCUGCAUUUCGUUCUUGUCCUCUUAGUAUGCAAAGUUAAGUCCACCAUCGCAUAAUAUAUAUGAGUAAUUAACCGUGCUCUGGAGUAAUGCAUUGCGUUCUGUCCUCUUAGUAUGCAAAUUUAAGUGCAUUAUCGGGUAAUUUAUAUGAGUAAUUAACUAUGGUUUCGGCGGCCUUUCGUCAAAUGCCUUUGCCCUUUGGUAGUCGUUUACUACUACAAAGUUAAAUGAAACAUCAUUUAGAUGACUGAUUAUUAAGUGCCAACCAUAGUUUCUGUGCAGCUGUUUAUUUUUUCAGUGUUAAUGUCGCUCUUCUCGCUUCUCUGAGCAUGAUUGUUUCAUAAUUAGCAUAGGAUUUGUAGACAUGGGAAUGCUCAAGUGUCAAUUGUCGUGAGACUAUGAGAACAACAACAUUUACAGAAGGUAGAAUCUGAGCUUCAAGACAAGCAGCCCAUAGUAACCUUAGUUGAGUAGUUCAUCUAUUAUUUUGGACUGACUGAAUGUGGUCUUAUACCAAUCUAAUAUAUGUACUUCUACCUCUGGAAGACUGAAGAGUUGAAUGAUGCAGAGUGUGAAUGAUGAACUUGUACAACUGAUGGGUGGGGAGGGCAGGUCUGCAAGGUGUUGGGAAAACCCUUUCUUGAUGUGAACAGUAUGGUCUGAUAUUAUUGUUAGUUGUCAAUCGAUCCAGGAUUCAAUCUCGUUUGCAAAUUCAAGUGUUUCUCUUGAAGGAUGACGCAAAUCACACGCAAGGAACAUGUUAAUAUGCAUACAAUUGUUCUUCGUGAGUCAUUUGUGCAACAUAUAUAUUUCACCAUAGCAAUUGAAAACUGACUGGUGUGCAGGUUGGUUUUUGUGUGUUCGAAGUUCUACAACUACCAAGGGCUAUUGGUUCUAGAAAUUAUUCACAAGCAUGCAGGCUCUGACCUACUUUUGCCCAAAUAUCUUCUUUGUAGUGAGUUGUGCUGAUUCACAUUAAGGUGCAGCGAACCCGAAAUCAUUUUAUUUUGUCUUCCCAUCGGCUACUUAUAAGAGUUGGGUAUCCGGAUGUUUUUCUAAGAUGUGCACCCUAUUCCUCUGUUUUCACAUUACUAUUUUUCCAUUCUUUAGUUUUAGUGUAUAUGACACAUUUCUUUUGUCUAAGUUAACUCUUCAUUCUUCUCAUAUGCUCUUCCAGAUUGGUUACCUUUUAGACACUCAAGUAAAUGUUCCACAUUUUCUGUGAAGUUUAUUUUCUUGGAGAGUCAUAUAUCUAUGCCAGAUCAUGCUAUUUUAGUUGUGUAUGCUCUCUUUUUUUACUGAAUUUUAUAAAUGUUUGUUGCUUGGAGAAUCACAUUUUUUACUGUUAAUUCACGAGGACUGUAUUUAUAACACUCAUUUAUUUUGAAAGCGAGUAUUAGCAAUAGUCAUUAUCUUUUACCAUUUUAUAACGAGUUGAUAGAAUAAAUUUUCAUAUCAAUGUCCAGUCCCUUGCUCCUCGAAGAAUAUCCGAUUCAUUAUUCCUUUUUGUGUAUUCUUUAUUUCAGGUCCGGAAGAGGAUGUUUCUGCACCUCUAUUAUGCUUACAGAAAAAGGCACCAGGCUAUGGAUUUUCAAGAAUGGGCACAUUCGCUCUCUGGUCUUCUGAUGCAACACUGUAUGUGUCGUCGAAUUUUGGCUUUUGGCUGCUUAGACCAGUCAGAUGCAUUGUGGCCAUUUGUGCUUUGGUUCAAUAAAUGAGGAAACAUAUUUUGUGUGCUUUGUGAUCCACCUUAUAAGACUGCCACCUCUCUGUUAAUAUAGACCUAUGACCUUGCUUU